RNAcentral lists this non-coding RNA (166 nucleotides) under Gemmata sp. SH-PL17. RNAcentral describes it as "SAM riboswitch aptamer (S box leader)". It matches the Rfam family "SAM riboswitch aptamer (S box leader)". From Rfam's summary of the family: The SAM riboswitch is found upstream of a number of genes which code for proteins involved in methionine or cysteine biosynthesis in Gram-positive bacteria. The SAM riboswitch acts at the level of transcription termination control. The predicted structure consists of a complex stem-loop region followed by a single stem loop terminator region. RNAcentral also lists the same sequence under 1 other name. The record is from Rfam by way of RNAcentral. Lineage: Bacteria; Pseudomonadati; Planctomycetota; Planctomycetia; Gemmatales; Gemmataceae.
AUCUUAUCCAGAGUGGCUGAGGGGCCAGGCCCGACGACGCCACAGCAACCGGUCUACUGUUGCACGUUCCCAACGUGCGGCACGCGAUGCAGGUGCUAACUCCUGCCCGGCAAACGCCGCGGCUCCCGAACAACGGGGGAAGCGGUAUGGCCGGGGAAGAUAAGAU